GAUGAACGCUAGCGGCAGGCCUAAUACAUGCAAGUCGAGGGGCAGCACGGUAGCAAUACUGGUGGCGACCGGCGCACGGGUGCGUAACGCGUAUGCAACUUACCCUUUACAGGGAGAUAGCCCGGAGAAAUUCGGAUUAAUAUCCCAUAGUAUAUAGAUUUGGCAUCAGAUUUAUAUUAAAGAUUUAUCGGUAAAGGAUGGGCAUGCGUGUCAUUAGCUAGUUGGUGAGGUAAUGGCUCACCAAGGCGACGAUGACUAGGGGUACUGAGAGGUUACACCCCCACACUGGUACUGAGACACGGACCAGACUCCUACGGGAGCAGCAGUAAGGAAUAUUGGACAAUGGGCGAGAGCCUGAUCCAGCCAUGCCGCGUGCAGGAUGACGGUCCUAUGGAUUGUAAACUGCUUUUGUAUGGGAAUAAACCCAGAUACGUGUAUCUGGCUGAAUGUACCAUAAGAAUAAGGAUCGGCUAACUCCGUG
This 481-nucleotide ribosomal RNA is filed under the name uncultured bacterium. RNAcentral's name for it is "bacterial SSU rRNA". It matches the Rfam family "Bacterial small subunit ribosomal RNA", at positions 28 to 507 of the family's 1533-position model. The record is from RNAcentral.